This 1092-nucleotide long non-coding RNA is filed under the name Homo sapiens (human). Its description in RNAcentral is "non-protein coding lnc-DPH3-2:1". The record is from RNAcentral. Lineage: Eukaryota; Metazoa; Chordata; Mammalia; Primates; Hominidae.
GAUUUACUCUACAAAUCGCCAGGAACAAAAAAAACAAAGACCAGAAGCUGAGUUUUUACCCAUUUCCUCUAAAUGACAAAGAAACACUUGAAAAGUGGUAAAAAAAAAAAAAAAAAAUAGCAAGAUUGAUGGGUUUCUAGUAAAUACCAGUUACUAUGUAGUGACCAUUUCACUCCUGACUCUCUUGACAUCAGACGGGGGAUUUGAUAUUUAAAACAAAGUACAGUUCCAACAACUUUUUCCUCUGCCUGAAGACAAUCAAGUAAAAGAUCCUUCUUAAAAAAAAAAAAAAUUCACAGAAGAAACAAUUGGAAGAUGAGAAAAAAGUAUGCCUAAAAGCCAAAUCAGAAAAAUCACUUGUAUUAAAUGAGGCAAAGAAAAAUAUAGUUAACACAGAUGUGCUCCCUGAACACGCAAUUACUUGAUUCAUCUGCCUUGGUGAAGCCACUGGCUUCUAAAAUAGGAAACCAGAAUCUACGUUGGAAACAUCAGUUAACUAAAAUAUGGAUAUAGGUGCUUUUCACACAUCUUUUGAGUAUCUAAAUUUUACAACUAUUACUUUGAUAAUUUCAAAUUCAGAAGGUAUUCAACAGUCUUUGGAAACCCAAGAAGUGCUUGAAAUAACUACCAAUCAUCUUGCUAAUCCAAAUUUUACAAAUAUUCCAUGAAAAUCAGGUCAGCACAGGAUAAUUCAUUCUUAUUUAGCACAAUUAAUCAAACAGUUGAAGAAUUAAACACAAAUAAAUAAUCUAUUAUUGCCAUUUUUCUAAACCCGUAGUUAAUUCUUUUAUAUCUGCCCAAAAAGAAACCAGGGAAAUGGAAGACAUAGACAUUGAAGACUCCUUACAUAAGGAUGUAAACUAUGGAAAUUGAACAUUCUUACUGCAGACAAGACACAACUAAAGAACAUUUUUGGCAGAAAGUCUGUAAGCUACAUUCUAAGAUAACUCUUCCUGACCUACAAACAACAAACUAUAGGUAGACUGAAGUCUUUGGAAGUUCUUAUAAGACAGCCAAAGCAGGAAAACUGGCUAUCUGAAGAAAAUGUCAGAUGAUAAAAAACUGUUUUACAACAGGGGAUGUCACUAUGAU